GACAGAGGAUGCAAGCGUUAUCCGGAAUGAUUGGGCGUAAAGCGUCUGUAGGUGGCUUUAAAAGUCUCCUGUCAAAGAUCAGGGCUUAACCCUGGGCCGGCAGGAGAAACUCUAAGGCUAGAGUUUGGUAGGGGCAGAGGGAAUUCCCGGUGGAGCGGUGAAAUGCGUAGAGAUCGGGAGGAACACCAAAGGCGAAAGCACUCUGCUGGGCCACAACUGACACUGAGAGACGAAAGCGAGGGGAGCAAAAGGG
Molecule: ribosomal RNA, 253 nt
Filed under: uncultured prokaryote
Description: partial 16S ribosomal RNA
Rfam family: Bacterial small subunit ribosomal RNA
Source: RNAcentral